RNAcentral lists this ribosomal RNA (468 nucleotides) under uncultured bacterium. RNAcentral describes it as "partial 16S ribosomal RNA". It matches the Rfam family "Bacterial small subunit ribosomal RNA", at positions 28 to 507 of the family's 1533-position model. The record is from RNAcentral.
GACGAACGCUGGCGGCGUGCUUAACACAUGCAAGUCGAACGGAAAGGCCCUGCUUUUGUGGGGUGCUCGAGUGGCGAACGGGUGAGUAACACGUGAGUAACCUGCCCUUGACUUUGGGAUAACUUCAGGAAACUGGGGCUAAUACCGGAUAGGAGCUCCUGCUGCAUGGUGGGGGUUGGAAAGUUUCGGUGGUUGGGGAUGGUCUCGCGGCUUAUCAGCUUGGUGGUGGGGUAGUGGCUUAACAAGGCUUUGACGGGUAGCCGGCCUGAGAGGGUGACCGGCAACAUUGGGACUGAGAUACGGCCCAGACUACGACGGGAGGCAGCAGGGGGGAAUAUUGAACGAUGGGAGGAAGGCUGAUGCGACAACGCCGCGUGGAGGAUGGCGGUCUUCGGGUUGUAAACCGCUUUCGCCUGUGACGAAGCGUGGGUGACGGUAAUGGGUAAAGAAGCACCGGCUAACUACGUG